This 92-nucleotide signal recognition particle RNA is filed under the name Methylocystis sp. Its description in RNAcentral is "signal recognition particle sRNA small type". It matches the Rfam family "Bacterial small signal recognition particle RNA". Rfam says of the family: The signal recognition particle (SRP) is a universally conserved ribonucleoprotein involved in the co-translational targeting of proteins to membranes. Archaeal SRP consists of a 7S RNA and homologues of the eukaryotic SRP19 and SRP54 proteins. In most bacteria, the SRP consists of a 4.5S RNA and the Ffh protein (a homologue of the eukaryotic SRP54 protein). The record is from RNAcentral. Lineage: Bacteria; Pseudomonadati; Pseudomonadota; Alphaproteobacteria; Hyphomicrobiales; Methylocystaceae.
GGGCUGGCGGCGGACGUUACCCUCGCCAACCGGGUCAGGUCCGGAAGGAAGCAGCCCUAACGAUCAGGUGACGGGUCGUUCGCCAGCCUUUU